Molecule: unclassified non-coding RNA, 378 nt
Filed under: uncultured Actinomycetes bacterium
Lineage: Bacteria; Bacillati; Actinomycetota; Actinomycetes
Description: uncultured actinobacterium contains 16S-23S intergenic spacer region
Source: RNAcentral
UCCGGUUUGUCACCGGCAGUCUCGCAUGAGUCCCCGGCCGAACCGCUGGCAACAUGCGACGGGGGUUGCGCUCGUUGCGGGACUUAACCCAACAUCUCACGACACGAGCUGACGACAACCAUGCACCACCUGUCCACCGACCCCGAAGGGAAACCCCAUCUCUGGGGCGGUCCGGUGAAUGUCAAGCCUUGGUAAGGUUCUUCGCGUUGCAUCGAAUUAAAGAACAUGCUCCGCUGCUUGUGCGGGCCCCCGUCAAUUCCUUUGAGUUUUAGCCUUGCGGCCGUACUCCCCAGGCGGGGAACUUAAUGCGUUGGCUACGGCACAGGAUCCGUGGAUAGGACCCCACACCUAGCACCCAUCGUUUACGGCGUGGACUAC